ACAGUACGAACUGCUUGCUGCUGCGGGAGUCAUGGCAGGACAGGCAUUUAGAAAGCUUCUUCCCCUCUUUGACCGAGUAUUAGCUGAAAGGAGUGCUGCGGAAACUGUAACCAAAGGAGGCAUUAUGCUUCCAGAAAAAUCUCAAGGAAAAGUGUUGCAAGCAACAGUAGUAGCUGUUGGAUCCGGCUCUAAAGGAAAGGGUGGAGAGAUUCAACCAGUUAGCGUGAAAGUUGGAGAUAAAGUUCUUCUUCCAGAAUAUGGAGGCACCAAAGUAGUUAUAGAGGACAAGGAUUAUUUCUUAUUUAGGGAUGGUGACAUCCUUGGAAAGUAUGUAGACUGAAAUAAAUCACUAUUGACAUGGCAUCACGUGAAGCUGCCCAUUCCACUGAAGUUCUGAAAUCUCAUCAUGUAAAUAAUUUCCAUGUUUCUCUUUUGUAAUAA
Hipposideros armiger (great roundleaf bat) is the source of this 441-nucleotide RNA transcript. It is a transcript of the gene named 10 kDa heat shock protein, mitochondrial pseudogene, with no coding region annotated. The transcript has a single exon. Lineage: Eukaryota; Metazoa; Chordata; Mammalia; Chiroptera; Hipposideridae. The record is from RefSeq and is a predicted model, not a curated record.